AACGAACGCUGGCGGCAGGCUUAACACAUGCAAGUCGAACGCACCUUUCGGGGUGAGUGGCAGACGGGUGAGUAACGCGUGGGAAUCUACCCUUCUCUACGGGAUAGCUCCGGGAAACUGGAAUUAAUACCGUAUACGUCCUGAGGGAGAAAGAUUUAUCGGGGAAGGAUGAGCCCGCGUUGGAUUAGCUAGUUGGUGGGGUAAAGGCCUACCAAGGCGACGAUCCAUAGCUGGUCUAAGAGGAUGAUCAGCCACAUUGGGACUGAGACACGGCCCAAACUCCUACGGGAGGCAGCAGUGGGGAAUAUUGGACAAUGGGCGCAAGCCUGAUCCAGCCAUGCCGCGUGAGUGAUGAAAGCCCUAGGGUUGUAAAGCUCUUUCAGUGGGGACGAUAAUGACGGUACCCACAGAAGAAGCCCCGGCUAACUUCGUG
This 433-nucleotide ribosomal RNA is filed under the name uncultured bacterium. Its description in RNAcentral is "partial 16S ribosomal RNA". It matches the Rfam family "Bacterial small subunit ribosomal RNA", at positions 29 to 507 of the family's 1533-position model. The record is from RNAcentral.